CGCACAAGCGGUGGAGCAUGUGGUUUAAUUCGAUGCAACGCGAAGAACCUUACCUGGUCUUGACAUCCACAGAACUUUCCAGAGAUGGAUUGGUGCCUUCGGGAACUGUGAGACAGGUGCUGCAUGGCUGUCGUCAGCUCGUGUUGUGAAAUGUUGGGUUAAGUCCCGCAACGAGCGCAACCCUUAUCCUUUGUUGCCAGCGGUCCGGCCGGGAACUCAAAGGAGACUGCCAGUGAUAAACUGGAGGAAGGUGGGGAUGACGUCAAGUCAUCAUGGCCCUUAC
Molecule: ribosomal RNA, 283 nt
Filed under: Klebsiella pneumoniae
Lineage: Bacteria; Pseudomonadati; Pseudomonadota; Gammaproteobacteria; Enterobacterales; Enterobacteriaceae
Description: partial 16S ribosomal RNA
Rfam family: Bacterial small subunit ribosomal RNA
Source: RNAcentral